CGAGUUGGCCAGGGCAAUCGCUGCUUGCAUUUGCAAGGGGAGGAAAGUCCGGGCUCCACAGGGCAGAGUGCCAGGUAACGCCUGGGCGGCGUGAGCCGACGACCAGUGCAACAGAGAGCAGACCGCCGAUGGCCCGCUUGCGGGAUCAGGUAAGGGUGAAAGGGUGCGGUAAGAGCGCACCGCGCGACUGGCAACAGUUCGUGGCACGGUAAACUCCACUCGGAGCAAGACCAAAUAGGCCCCCAAUGGUACGGCCCGUACUGGGGGCGGGUAGGUUGCUUGAGGUGCAUGGUGACAUGCAUCCUAGAGGAAUGGUUGCCACCUUGGAAACAAGGCACAGAACCCGGCUUAUUGGCCAACUCACUUC
This 367-nucleotide RNase P RNA is filed under the name Alkalimonas amylolytica. Its description in RNAcentral is "Bacterial RNase P class A". It matches the Rfam family "Bacterial RNase P class A". Rfam says of the family: Ribonuclease P (RNase P) is a ubiquitous endoribonuclease, found in archaea, bacteria and eukarya as well as chloroplasts and mitochondria. Its best characterised activity is the generation of mature 5'-ends of tRNAs by cleaving the 5'-leader elements of precursor-tRNAs. Cellular RNase Ps are ribonucleoproteins. Lineage: Bacteria; Pseudomonadati; Pseudomonadota; Gammaproteobacteria. The record is from Rfam by way of RNAcentral.